GAGCUAAUAGUUUAACGAUAUAAGAACUUCUAAUUGUUAAUUAGAGUGUGGUAGUAAUCUUAGUUUU
This 67-nucleotide transfer RNA is filed under the name Perumytilus purpuratus. RNAcentral's name for it is "tRNA-Asn". The record is from RNAcentral. Lineage: Eukaryota; Metazoa; Mollusca; Bivalvia; Mytilida; Mytilidae.